This 481-nucleotide ribosomal RNA is filed under the name uncultured bacterium. Its description in RNAcentral is "partial 16S ribosomal RNA". It matches the Rfam family "Bacterial small subunit ribosomal RNA", at positions 28 to 507 of the family's 1533-position model. The record is from RNAcentral.
GAUGAACGCUGGCGGCGUGCUUAACACAUGCAAGUCGAACGAAGCACUUUAUUUGAUUUCCUUCGGGACUGAUUAUUUUGUGACUGAGUGGCGGACGGGUGAGUAACGCGUGGGUAACCUGCCUUGUACAGGGGGAUAACAGUUGGAAACGGCUGCUAAUACCGCAUAAGCGCACAGCAUCGCAUGAUGCAGUGUGAAAAACUCCGGUGGUAUAAGAUGGACCCGCGUUGGAUUAGCUAGUGGGUGAGGUAACGGCCCACCAAGGCGACGAUCCAUAGCCGACCUGAGAGGGUGACCGGCCACAUUGGGACUGAGACACGGCCCACACUCCUACGGGAGGCAGCAGUGGGGAAUAUUGCACAAUGGGCGAAAGCCUGAUGCAGCGACGCCGCGUGAGCGAAGAAGUAUUUCGGUAUGUAAAGCUCUAUCAGCAGGGAAGAUAAUGACGGUACCUGACGAAGAAGCACCGGCUAAAUACGUG